Molecule: long non-coding RNA, 615 nt
Organism: Andrographis paniculata
Lineage: Eukaryota; Viridiplantae; Streptophyta; Magnoliopsida; Lamiales; Acanthaceae
Exons: 2
Source: RefSeq, a predicted model, not a curated record
GUAAUAGCUUAGAAUCAAACAUAGGCUUAGUGGUCUCUAUAAAUAGAGAUAGAUAGCAAGGGAGAGACUCAUAUGUCGAACUCCGACAUAGUUAAAUCAGCAGCGCACCAAGUUCAGACCAGACCAGACCAGACCAGAUCGCAAUUCCUGUCCGAAGAUGGAUUUCCGAGCUCUCAAACGCACGCCUCUCUCCUUCUUCCUUCUCAUCAUCUCUCUUUCACUGUUUGAGUGUAUUGUUAUUACAAGUGGUGUAAGAGACUUAGAUCCGACGGCGAGAAGCUACUGGAAGAGCCGAAUGAAGGAGGAGCCAAUGCCCGACGCAAUCGCAGAUCUCAUCCGUCCGAUCAAUCCACCGUCGCCUUCGCCUACACCGUCGGAUUAUUAUCCGUUUGUUAGAGAUUUUAAGACAAAACACACUUUCAUUAUUUACCACAGCCGCCCCGACAAUCGGCCUCUCGGAUCGAAACCCUAAUUCAUCUCAAUUGGGGGCUGACUAGUUAUGCAUCCCUCUUAUGUAUGUAUCUAUCUAUUAUUACAGCUGGAUAGGAUCGUGCCCAUUUUUUCCAACAUUGUAUUUUUUUUUUAGUUUAAUAUAUUAAACUUUUUAGUAGGAUA